RNAcentral lists this ribosomal RNA (506 nucleotides) under uncultured bacterium. RNAcentral describes it as "bacterial SSU rRNA". It matches the Rfam family "Bacterial small subunit ribosomal RNA", at positions 18 to 518 of the family's 1533-position model. The record is from RNAcentral.
CCUGGCUCAGGAUGAACGCUAGCGACAGGCCUAACACAUGCAAGUCGAGGGGCAGCACAAGGAGCAAUCUGAGGUGGCGACCGGCGCACGGGUGAGUAACACGUAUGCAACCUGCCUGUAAGCGGGGAAUAACCCGUUGAAAGACGGACUAAUACCGCAUAAUACUAAAUUACUGCAUGGUAAUUUAUUUAAACAUUUAUGGCUUACAGAUGGGCAUGCGCAUGAUUAGCUAGUUGGAGAGGUAACGGCUCCCCAAGGCAACGAUCAUUAGGGGUUCUGAGAGGAAGGUCCCCCACACUGGUACUGAGACACGGACCAGACUCCUACGGGAGGCAGCAGUGAGGAAUAUUGGUCAAUGGACGAGAGUCUGAACCAGCCAAGUCGCGUGCAGGAAGAAAUGUCCUAUGGAUUGUAAACCGCUUUUGCAGGGGAAUAAAGUGCAUCACGUGUGAUGUUUUGUAUGUACUCUGCGAAUAAGGGUCGGCUAACUCCGUGCCAGCCGCCGC